AGACCCGAAACCCGGUGAUCUAGCCAUGGGCAGGUUGAAGGUUGGGUAACACUAACUGGAGGACCGAACCGACUAAUGUUGAAAAAUUAGCGGAUGACCUGUGGCUGGGGGUGAAAGGCCAAUCAAACCGGGAGAUAGCUGGUUCUCCCCGAAAGCUAUUUAGGUAGCGCCUCGUGAAUUCAUCUCCGGGGGUAGAGCACUGUUUCGGCUAGGGGGCCAUCCCGGCUUACCAACCCGAUGCAAACUGCGAAUACCGGAGAAUGUUAUCACGGGAGACACACGGCGGGUGCUAACGUCCGUCGUGAAGAGGGAAACAACCCAGACCGCCAGCUAAGGUCCCAAAGUCAUGGUUAAGUGGGAAACGAUGUGGGAAGGCCCAGACAGCCAGGAUGUUGGCUUAGAAGCAGCCAUCAUUUAAAGAAAGCGUAAUAGCUCACUGGUCGAGUCGGCCUGCGCGGAAGAUGUAACGGGGCUAAACCAUGCACCGAAGCUGCGGCAGCGAACGUAUCACCCAAGACAACUUUACGGAGUUGACGAUUGACGGAGCGAAGCGACGUCAAAGCGUUCAUUAAAGUCGAGUUGGCUUAGGGAUACGUUCGUUGGGUAGGGGAGCGUUCUGUAAGCCUGUGAAGGUGUGUCGUGAGGCAUGCUGGAGGUAUCAGAAGUGCGAAUGCUGACAUAAGUAACGAUAAAGCGGGUGAAAAGCCCGCUCGCCGGAAGACCAAGGGUUCCUGUCCAACGUUAAUCGGGGCAGGGUGAGUCGACCCCUAAGGCGAGGCCGAAAGGCGUAGUCGAUGGGAAACGGGUUAAUAUUCCCGUACUUGGUGUUACUGCGAAGGGGGGACGGAGAAGGCUAUGUUGGCCGGGCGACGGUUGUCCCGGUUUAAGCGUGUAGGUGUGUGUUCCAGGUAAAUCCGGUUCACUUUAACACUGAGGCGUGACGACGAGGCACUACGGUGCUGAAGCAACAAAUGCCCUGCUUCCA
This 985-nucleotide ribosomal RNA is filed under the name Salmonella enterica. RNAcentral describes it as "partial 23S ribosomal RNA". It matches the Rfam family "Bacterial large subunit ribosomal RNA", at positions 711 to 1610 of the family's 2925-position model. Lineage: Bacteria; Pseudomonadati; Pseudomonadota; Gammaproteobacteria; Enterobacterales; Enterobacteriaceae. The record is from RNAcentral. RNAcentral also lists the same sequence under 2 other names.